CCCCUAGAUGUUCUGGGCCGCACACGCGCUACACUGAACAGUUCAACAAGUCUUAACCUUGGCCGAUAGGUCUGGGUAAUCUUUGAACGCUGUUCGUGAUUGGGAUAGACCUUUGCAAUUAUGGGUCUUCAACGAGGAAUUCCUAGUAAACGCAAGUCAUCAGCUUGCAUUGAUUACGUCCCUGCCCUUUGUACACACCGCCCGUCGCACCUACCGAUUGAAUGGUCCGGUGAAAUCUCGGGACGGCGGCUUGGUCGCUUGCGUCCGACUGCUGAAACUUGAUUAAACCAUAUCAUUUAGAGGAAGGUGAAGUCGUAACA
RNAcentral lists this ribosomal RNA (320 nucleotides) under uncultured eukaryote. Its description in RNAcentral is "partial 18S ribosomal RNA". It matches the Rfam family "Eukaryotic small subunit ribosomal RNA", at positions 1470 to 1796 of the family's 1831-position model. The record is from RNAcentral.